RNAcentral lists this ribosomal RNA (481 nucleotides) under uncultured bacterium. RNAcentral's name for it is "partial 16S ribosomal RNA". It matches the Rfam family "Bacterial small subunit ribosomal RNA", at positions 28 to 507 of the family's 1533-position model. The record is from RNAcentral.
GACGAACGUUGGCGGCGUGCUUAAUACAUGCCAGUCAACUGAAGCAGUGGUAGCAAUAUCGCUGUGGAGGUGGCGCACGGGUGAGUAACACGUAGGUAAUCUGCCUUCAGGUCUGGCAUAACUCCGGGAAACCGGGGCUAAUAGCAGAUGAUGCAGCGGCUCGACAUCGAGACAGUUGUUAAAGCUAUGGCGCCUGAAGAUGAGCCUGCGUCUGAUUAGCUAGUUGGCGGGGUAACGGCCCACCAAGGCAACGAUCAGUAGCUGGUCUGAGAGGAUGAUCAGCCACACUGGAACUGAGACACGGUCCAGACUCCUACGGGAGGCAGCAGUAAGGAAUAUUGCUCAAUGGGAGAAAUCCUGAAGCAGCAACGCCGCGUGAGGGACGAAGGGCUUUGGCUUGUAAACCUCUGUAGUGAGAGAAAAAAAUCCCAAUCUUUGGGACAUGAUGGUAGCUCAAAAGUAAGCCCCGGCUAACUACGUG